RNAcentral lists this transfer RNA (84 nucleotides) under Candidatus Iainarchaeum sp. Its description in RNAcentral is "tRNA-Leu". It matches the Rfam family "tRNA". Rfam says of the family: Transfer RNA (tRNA) molecules are approximately 80 nucleotides in length. Their secondary structure includes four short double-helical elements and three loops (D, anti-codon, and T loops). The record is from RNAcentral. Lineage: Archaea; Nanobdellati; Candidatus Iainarchaeota; Candidatus Iainarchaeia; Candidatus Iainarchaeales; Candidatus Iainarchaeaceae.
GCAGGGAUACCCAAGCGGUCAACGGGGCAAGGCUUAAGACCUUGUGGCUCAGUGCCUUCGAGGGUUCGAAUCCCUCUCCCUGCA